AACAGGAUUAGAUACCCUGGUAGUCCACGCCGUAAACGAUGUCGACUUGGAGGUUGUGCCCUUGAGGCGUGGCUUCCGGAGCUAACGCGUUAAGUCGACCGCCUGGGGAGUACGGCCGCAAGGUUAAAACUCAAAUGAAUUGACGGGGGCCCGCACAAGCGGUGGAGCAUGUGGUUUAAUUCGAUGCAACGCGAAGAACCUUACCUACUCUUGACAUCCAGAGAACUUAGCAGAGAUGCUUUGGUGCCUUCGGGAACUCUGAGACAGGUGCUGCAUGGCUGUCGUCAGCUCGUGUUGUGAAAUGUUGGGUUAAGUCCCGCAACGAGCGCAACCCUUAUCCUUUGUUGCCAGCGGUUCGGCCGGGAACUCAAAGGGGACUGCCAGUGAUAAACCGGAGGAAGGUGGGGAUGACGUCAAGUCAUCAUGGCCCUUACGAGUAGGGCUACACACGUGCUACAAUGGCGCAUACAAAGAGAAGCGACCUCGCGAGAGCAAGCGGACCUCAUAAAGUGCGUCGUAGUCCGGAUCGGAGUCUGCAACUCGACUCCGUGAAGUCGGAAUCGCUAGUAAUCGUAGAUCAGAAUGCUACGGUGAAUACGUUCCCGGGCCUUGUACACACCGCCCGUCACACCAUGGGAGUGGGUUGCAAAAGAAGUAGGUAGCUUAACCUUCGGGAGGGCGCUUACCACUUUGUGAUUCAUGACUGGGGUGAAGUCGUAACAAGGUAACC
Molecule: ribosomal RNA, 730 nt
Filed under: uncultured bacterium
Lineage: Bacteria
Description: bacterial SSU rRNA
Rfam family: Bacterial small subunit ribosomal RNA
Source: RNAcentral